This 742-nucleotide ribosomal RNA is filed under the name Bacillus pumilus. Its description in RNAcentral is "bacterial SSU rRNA". It matches the Rfam family "Bacterial small subunit ribosomal RNA", at positions 61 to 786 of the family's 1533-position model. The record is from RNAcentral. Lineage: Bacteria; Bacillati; Bacillota; Bacilli; Caryophanales; Bacillaceae.
GUCGAGCGGACAGAAGGGAGCUUGCUCCCGGAUGUUAGCGGCGGACGGGUGAGUAACACGUGGGUAACCUGCCUGUAAGACUGGGAUAACUCCGGGAAACCGGAGCUAAUACCGGAUAGUUCCUUGAACCGCAUGGUUCAAGGAUGAAAGACGGUUUCGGCUGUCACUUACAGAUGGACCCGCGGCGCAUUAGCUAGUUGGUGAGGUAACGGCUCACCAAGGCGACGAUGCGUAGCCGACCUGAGAGGGUGAUCGGCCACACUGGGACUGAGACACGGCCCAGACUCCUACGGGAGGCAGCAGUAGGGAAUCUUCCGCAAUGGACGAAAGUCUGACGGAGCAACGCCGCGUGAGUGAUGAAGGUUUUCGGAUCGUAAAGCUCUGUUGUUAGGGAAGAACAAGUGCAAGAGUAACUGCUUGCACCUUGACGGUACCUAACCAGAAAGCCACGGCUAACUACGUGCCAGCAGCCGCGGUAAUACGUAGGUGGCAAGCGUUGUCCGGAAUUAUUGGGCGUAAAGGGCUCGCAGGCGGUUUCUUAAGUCUGAUGUGAAAGCCCCCGGCUCAACCGGGGAGGGUCAUUGGAAACUGGGAAACUUGAGUGCAGAAGAGGAGAGUGGAAUUCCACGUGUAGCGGUGAAAUGCGUAGAGAUGUGGAGGAACACCAGUGGCGAAGGCGACUCUCUGGUCUGUAACUGACGCUGAGGAGCGAAAGCGUGGGGAGCGAACAGGAUUAGAUACC